AGCUCCAAUAGCGUAUAUUAAAGUUGCUGCAGUUAAAAAGCUCGUAGUUGGAUUUGUGGGAUGGCCGUCCGGCGGGGGGCCAUUUAUUGGUCCCGUUUGUCCUGGUUUUCGGCCUUCCCUUUCUCGGGUCUAGCGUAUUGGCUGGCAUUAGGUUGUCGGCCGCUUCGCGCCCGUCGUUUACUGUGAAAAAAUUAGAGUGUUCAAAGCAGGCAUUCAUCGUGCCCGAAUACAUGAGCAUGGAAUAAUGGAACAGGACUACGGUCAUUGCACUUUUUCCGUUGGUUUCGGAGGACCGAAGUAAUGAUUAAGAGGGACAGUUGGGGGCAUCCGUAUUUCGUAGUCAGAGGUGAAAUUCUUGGAUCUGCGAAAGACGAACGAGUGCGAAAGCAUUUGCCAAGAA
RNAcentral lists this ribosomal RNA (400 nucleotides) under phytoplankton environmental sample. RNAcentral's name for it is "partial small subunit ribosomal RNA". It matches the Rfam family "Eukaryotic small subunit ribosomal RNA", at positions 587 to 964 of the family's 1831-position model. The record is from RNAcentral.